GACGAACGCUGGCGGCGUGCUUAACACAUGCGAGUCGAACGGAAAGGCCCUGCUUUUGUGGGGUGCUCGAGUGGCGAACGGGUGAGUAACACGUGAGUAACCUGCCCUUGACUUUGGGAUAACUUCAGGAAACUGGGGCUAAUACCGGAUAGGAGCUCCUGCUGCAUGGUGGGGGUUGGAAAGUUUCGGCGGUUGGGGAUGGACUCGCGGCUUAUCAGCUUGUUGGUGGGGUAGUGGCUUACCAAGGCUUUGACGGGUAGCCGGCCUGAGAGGGUGACCGGCCACAUUGGGACUGAGAUACGGCCCAGACUCCUACGGGAGGCAGCAGUGGGGAAUAUUGCACAAUGGGCGGAAGCCUGAUGCAGCAACGCCGCGUGCGGGAUGACGGCCUUCGGGUUGUAAACCGCUUUCGCCUGUGACGAAGCGUGAGUGACGAUAAUGGGUAAAGAAGCACCGGCUAACUACGUG
RNAcentral lists this ribosomal RNA (468 nucleotides) under uncultured bacterium. RNAcentral's name for it is "partial 16S ribosomal RNA". It matches the Rfam family "Bacterial small subunit ribosomal RNA", at positions 28 to 507 of the family's 1533-position model. The record is from RNAcentral.